This is a non-coding RNA of Prunus mume (Japanese apricot), 4351 nucleotides long. NCBI's taxonomy places the organism in Eukaryota, Viridiplantae, Streptophyta, Magnoliopsida, Rosales, Rosaceae. The record is from RefSeq and is a predicted model, not a curated record.
AGAAGUUCUUUCUAUAAACUGCUCAUCUUGCUGACUUUUUAUCUUUUUGCUCCGCAAAACCCUUCUACUUAAAAAACAAGAACCAAAAAAGAAGUCAUGUUAAGCAGCAGCAGUGAUUGUAGCACAUCGCUGCUUGACGACCUUGACAUCAACCUCAGAGCAAAGAGGAGAUGGCGCAUGGCGUAUCUUGCUUUACGUGUUGUUCGGGUCAUGCUAGAGCUUCCUAAAGAGAUUAUAUCCAGGGCAAGCAACUAUGAAGGCGACGAUGAGAUUGUUCACUACAGUAUUCUGUCCAACACUGAGCAUGAUGACGAUGCAGGCAUCAAAGAAAUGGCCAAGGAAAAAGAGUUGGCUACUGCUCUAAGUGAUCAUGGAGGAUUAUUUACAUCAGGCCUUGCAAAUUCUGAUUAUACCAAAAGCAGCCAUUAUGAUUAUGGAAGAUUGCUCACAAUCACCUUCACCAGAGCCAAGAAGAGAUGGCGCAUGGCCUUUGCAGCCAUAUACGCUGUCAGGGCAAUGCUUUCGCUUCCCAAAGAGAUUGUAGCCAAGAGAAACAACUACAAACAUCACUCCGAGAUCUUCCACUCUUUUUCUCACACUGCACCGGACAUCGAACUAAGCACUGCCUUGGACUUGAAACCAAGAACAAAAUCUCAAACUGAUGCCUACGGUUUUGUCCCCAACCCUGACUUUGACCAUGCAGGGCUCACAACAAUGGUUAAGGAAAGGGACUUGGGUGCUGUAAACGAGUCUGGAGGAGUUAUAGGCAUUGCUGCUUCUCUCAGGACAAACCCUGAAAACGGAAUCUAUGGAAACGAUUUACAUAUCAACAAGCGGCGCGAAGUAUAUGGAUCAAACACCUACCACAAGCAGCCUCCAAAAGGGUUGCUCUAUUUUGUGAUGGACGCUUUAAAAGACACAACCAUUCUGAUUCUAUGUGUCUGCGCAGCACUUUCUCUUGGAUUUGGAAUCAAAGAGCAUGGGGCGAAGGAAGGCUGGUACGAGGGAGGGAGUAUCUUUGUUGCUGUAUUUAUUGUCAUUGUUGUCUCAGCUCUGAGUAACUUUAGACAAGAAUUGCAAUUCGACAAGUUGUCGAAAAUAAGUAGCAACAUCAAAGUUGAGGUACUUAGAGACAGACAGAGACAAGAAGUCUCCAUUUUCGAUAUUGUAGUUGGAGAUGUUGUGUUUCUGAAGUUGGGAGAUCAAAUACCUGCAGACGGAUUGUUCCUAGACGGCCGUUCCUUACAAGUGGAUGAAUCGAGCAUGACAGGAGAGAGUGACCAUGUAGAAGUUGAUUCUGCCAAGAACCCCUUCCUGUUGUCUGGUGCAAAGGUGUUAGACGGCUAUGCCCAAAUGCUCGUCACAUCAGUUGGGAUGAACACGGCGUGGGGCGAAAUGAUGAGCUCAAUAUCGCAGGACACAAACGAACGAACACCAUUACAAGCAAGGCUUGACAAACUAACCUCUUCUAUUGGAAAAGUAGGCCUUAUAGUUGCUUUCCUAGUUCUGGUAGUCUUGUUGAUUCGUUAUUUCACCGGUAACACAAAAGAUGAGUACGGAAAUAAGGAGUAUAGUGGUAGCAACAAAAACAUAGAUAAUGUGUUGAACGGAGUGGUUCGAAUUGUUUCUGCUGCAGUCACUAUUGUGGUGGUGGCAAUCCCAGAGGGUUUGCCGUUGGCGGUCACACUAACGCUAGCCUACUCAAUGAAAAGAAUGAUGAAAGAUCAGGCUAUGGUCAGAAAACUACAAGCUUGUGAGACAAUGGGAUCAGCAACCGUUAUUUGUACAGACAAAACAGGUACUUUGACAAAAAAUGAUAUGGAAGUCACUAAGUUUUGGCUUGGCCAAGAACCUAUUGAAAAACAUAAUUCAAUCAAACAAAAUGUCUCUGAAUUAUUCCAUCAAGGAGUUGGUUUGAACACAACUGGGAGUGUUUACAUACCUCUCUCAGGAUCCAAACCUAACAUCUCUGGCAGUCCAACAGAAAAAGCUAUUCUGUAUUGGGCUGUUUCAGAUUUGGGCAUGGACAUGGAAAAAAUAAAGCUUAGUUAUGAUAUUCUUCAUGUUGAAACAUUUAACUCAGAUAAGAAACGAAGCGGAGUUCUUAUAAAGAAAAAGGAAGAUAAAUCCAUCCAUGUGCACUGGAAAGGAGCUGCUGAGAUGAUAGUUGCCAUGUGCUCAAGUUAUUAUGAAACCGACGGAGCUAUAAAGUCGUUGGAUGAAGAAAGUAGGUCUAACAUUGAGAAAAUAAUCCAAGGCAUGGCAGCUAGCAGCCUCCGGUGCAUUGCUUUUGCUCACACACAAAUUUUAGAGGAAGAAAUUGAAUACAGCAAUGAUGAGAAGACUCACCCAAGGCUCAAAGAAGAUGAACUGAUCUUGCUAGGAGUAGUUGGUCUCAAAGAUCCAUGUCGACCAGGGGUCCUCGAUGCCGUGAAGAUCUGCAAGUCUGCAGGAGUGCAAAUCAAAAUGAUAACGGGAGACAAUGUUUUCACAGCAAAAGCCAUAGCUACAGAAUGCGGAAUACUGCAGAUUGGGGACGAAGCAAAUUAUGGUGAACAAGUGAUAGAAGGAGUCGAGUUUCGAAACUAUACAAACGAAGAGAGAAUGGAAAAGGUUGAUAACAUCCUCGUGAUGGCCAGAUCUUCCCCGUUCGACAAGCUUCUGAUGGUGCAAUGCUUGAAGCAGAAAAAUCAUGUGGUUGCAGUCACAGGAGACGGCACCAACGACGCACCCGCAUUGAAAGAAGCUGACAUAGGACUCUCCAUGGGGAUCCAGGGCACCGAGGUGGCGAAAGAGAGCUCGGACAUCAUCAUCUUGGACGACAACUUCAACUCUGUGGCCACAGUUUUGAGGUGGGGGAGAUGCGUUUACAACAACAUACAGAAAUUCAUACAAUUUCAGCUUACUGUCAAUGUGGCAGCUCUGGUUAUCAACUUCAUUGCAGCAGUUUCAGCUGGAGAUGUUCCCUUAACAGCAGUUCAACUAUUAUGGGUGAAUCUCAUCAUGGACACUCUUGGUGCUCUGGCUCUUGCAACCGAGCGGCCUACCAAUGAGCUCAUGCAGAAGCAGCCUGUUGGCCGAACCGCGCCGCUCAUAACCAACAUUAUGUGGAGAAACCUUUUAUUUCAAGCUCUGUACCAAAUAGCUGUCCUCUUGAUCUUGCAGUUCCGGGGAGAGUCUAUCUUCAAUGUCACUGGUCAAGUGAACGAUACUUUGAUUUUCAAUACGUUUGUGCUCUGUCAAGUUUUCAACGAGUUCAAUUCGAGGAGCAUGGAGAAGCAGAAUGUGUUCAAAGGCAUUCACAGGAACAGACUGUUUAUUGGGAUUGUGGGGGUAACUAUUCUUCUUCAAGUUGUGAUGGUGGAGUUCCUCAAAAAGUUUGCAGAUACAGAGAAGUUGAACUUGUUUCAAUGGGUGACUUGUAUUUUAAUUGCAGCUGUGUCAUGGCCAAUUGGUUGGAUUGUGAAGUGUAUACCUGUCCCGGAAGAACCAGUCUUCGAAAUUAUCAGGAGGUCAAUAGUCACAUUCAAAAGAAAUAUGCGAGCAUAGCUUGGAGACCAGGACAAGACGUCUGGUAUUCGAGCGUGGAGCUCUGGCCGUGAACUUAGGGCUACAGGUCCAACAUAUAGAGCUCCUAGGCUCUAGAUUUGGAGCUCGGCGCUCGAGGUUCAUGUCCUAUAAUCCAGAUUCCAGAGCUCGAAAUUUGAGUCCCGGGUCUGGAUCGAGUGUUUAAGGUUUGAGGCCCAGAGCCCAUGCUUGGGGCUUUUAGGUCAUGUUUAGUGGGCUGGAUUGGACUGGACAAAUUUAACGGCUUCUUAGAUAUAGAUCCAUUUUCAUUUAGAUACAAUAGAUAUAGGAUACUAAUUGGACUCUCUUCAAUUGCAGCCCUCCCAAUCAAUUGAAUGGCCAGAUUACCACAUGGACUUUGAAACAUCUCAAAAUAUCUCCACACUUUUAAAAACGGUCUCACGUUAUCCAUUCCGUCAGUAUUAUAGACGUUCUGUUACGUGCUUUGGGGUCUACUUCGUUUCAAUCCUUAACAUUGGAGAAUAAGGAUUUUUCAGCUUCAGAAAAGGGAAAAGGGGGUAUUUGGAGAAGAAGGCUAGGGCUUAUCCAUUCAAUCUGCAAGUCUGAAAAAUUUGGGAAAUUUGGAAAUUUGGCGGUGAUUGACUAGAUAUGGACAUGUGACAUAGUAUGCUUGCCUUAGAAUGAGUGGCAUUGUGUGUAAUUUUGAUAUUUUUUAAUGAUAUUUUUGUAAAAUUAGGUACCACAUUUUGGUUUUAGCCUUGUGCUAAUUAGAUAAAAUUGUAUUCAUAUCUUCCAAAUUAGUAAACUAUAUUGUGUUUUAAAA